UUAGUCCUACGGGACGCAGCAGUGGGGAAUAUUGCACAAUGGGGGAAACCCUGAUGCAGCGACGCCGCGUGAGUGAAGAAGUAUUUCGGGAUGUAAAGCUCUAUCAGCAGGGAAGAAAAAAGACGGUACCUGACUAAGAAGCCCCGGCUAACUACGUGCCAGCAGCCGCGGUAAUACGUAGGGGGCAAGCGUUAUCCGGAUUUACUGGGUGUAAAGGGAGCGUAGACGGUGCGU
Molecule: ribosomal RNA, 234 nt
Filed under: uncultured bacterium
Lineage: Bacteria
Description: partial 16S ribosomal RNA
Rfam family: Bacterial small subunit ribosomal RNA
Source: RNAcentral